AUGCUUUAACAUGCAGUCGAACGGCAGCACGGACUUCGGUCUGGUGGCGAGUGGCGAACGGGUGAGUAAUAUAUCGGAACGUAUCCAAUAAUGGGGGAUAACUAAUCGAAAGGUUGGCUAAUACCGCAUACGCCCUACGGGGGAAAGCUAGGGACCUUCGGGCCUGGCGUUAAUGGAGCGGCUGAUAUCUGAUUAGCUAGUUGGUGAGGUAAAAGCUCACCAAGGCGACGAUCAGUAGCUGGUCUGAGAGGACGACCAGCCACACUGGAACUGAGACACGGUCCAGACUCCUACGGGAGGCAGCAGUGGGGAAUUUUGGACAAUGGGCGAAAGCCUGAUCCAGCCAUUCCGCGUGAGUGAAGAAGGCCUUCGGGUUGUAAAGCUCUUUCGCAAGGGAAGAAAACUUAGGCGCUAAUAUCGCUUGAGGUUGACGGUACCUUGAUAAGAAGCACCGGCUAACUACGUGCCAGCAGCCGCGGUAAUACGUAGGGUGCGAGCGUUAAUCGGAAUUACUGGGCGUAAAGCGUGCGCAGGCGGUUUUGUAAGUCAGAUGUGAAAUCCCCGAGCUCAACUUGGGAACUGCGUUUGAAACUACAAGACUAGAAUAUGUCAGAGGGGGGUAGAAUUCCACGUGUAGCAGUGAAAUGCGUAGAGAUGUGGAGGAAUACCAAUGGCGAAGGCAGCCCCCUGGGAUAAUAUUGACGCUCAUGCACGAAAGCGUGGGGAGCAAACAGGAUUAGAUACCCUGGUAGUCCACGCCCUAAACGAUGUCUACUAGUUGUUGGUGGAGUAAAAUCCAUGAGUAACGCAGCUAACGCGUGA
RNAcentral lists this ribosomal RNA (822 nucleotides) under uncultured bacterium. Its description in RNAcentral is "bacterial SSU rRNA". It matches the Rfam family "Bacterial small subunit ribosomal RNA", at positions 44 to 862 of the family's 1533-position model. The record is from RNAcentral.